AACAUUGCCGAUGAUAGGGUUGACGACGAGCGAGUACCUUCUUGGGUUUGGUACAUAGUCGGGGUGGUCAUCUUGGUCGAAGGUGAUGGGCUUGUUGGACCAGUCUAGGUAGACUGGCGUCGCUACCUUCACCGAGCAGACCUCCCGGCUUUCUUGCUUGCGGGGUCGAGCUGAGGCAUUCGCCACUUGCCCACCGUAGAUCAUGAAGCAGUUGUGGACCUCUGGGAACUCUUCUUCCCCGUUGCCUCCCUUCUGGUUGUUGCCUUGGUCCUUGCCACCCUCCGCCGAGGGUCCAGCCUUAUUGAAGUAACGUUGGAGCAUGUCGCACUCUUCAAGGGUGUGCUUGACGGGGCCCCUGUGAUAGGGGCACGACUCCUUGAGCAUUUUGUCGAACACGCUGGCCCCUCUGGGAGGCUUCCGAGGAUUUCUGUGCUCGGCAGCAGCGACGAGAUCCAUGUCAACGGCGUUGCGUUUUGCUUGCGCCUUCUUCCUGGUCUUCUUCUUCAUGCCAUGCUGGACGGACGCCUCGGGGACGUCUUCCUUCUACCUCCUGUGAGGCUGCUUGUCCUUUCGGAAAAUGGCUUCGACCGCCUCCUGACCAGAGGAGAACUUGGUGGCUAUGUCCAUCAAUUUGCUCGCCUUGGUGGGUGUCUUGCGUCCCAGUUUUCUUACCAGGUCCCGGCAAGUGGUGCCGGUGAGGAAUGCUCCGAUGACGUCUGAGUCGGUGAUGUUAGGCAACUCGGUGCACUGCUUUGAAAACCGCCAGAUGUACUCUCGCAGGGAUUCCCCUGACUGCUGGCGGCAGCUCCAGAGAUCCCACGAGUUCCCAGGGCGCACGUAGGUACCUUGGAAAUUUCCAGUGAAGGCCUUAACUAGGUCGUCCUAGUCGAAGAUCUGCGCAGGAGGCAGAUGCUCCAGCCAGGCCCGGGCAGCGUCGGAGAGGAAAAGGGGGAGGUUGCGGAUGAUGAGGUUGUCGUCGUCCGUCCCUCCCAACUGGCACGCCAGUCGGUAGUCCACGAGCCACAACUCCGGCCUCUUCUCCCCUAAGUACUUGGUAAUGGUAGUCGGGGCUCGGAACCGGGCUGGGAACGGCACCUGUCGUAUGGCCCGGCUGAAGACCCGCGGACCUGGUGGUUCGGGCGAGGGGCUCCGAUCCUCCUCACUGUCUUAACGUCCCCCGCGUCUGGGGUGGUAGCCUCGGUGCACCUUUUCCUCGAGGCAGGCUCGACGGUCGCGACGGUGUUGCUCGUCACCGAGGCGAUCCCGGGCUGUAGGUGCCUCGUCUCCUGUGUGCUCGGUGUGGACCGAGGCCCCGCGCAUGUGUAGGGAGGACGUUGCGUGAUGCUCCGAGGGGCAUCCUCGCCUUCGGGAGGGUAACGCCCUGAAUUUGGGGGGUAGAAUUUUUUCUUCUUUUCUCUCACCAAAUUCGGGCGUUACUCUCUUUUCUCUUCCCGUUUCGCUCCUUCGUCCCAAUUUCAAACCAGUAUAGUGACAUGUGUCAGUGUCGUAUAUGAACAAAACUUAAGUUGACAUGAGUGUUGCAUCAUGCCAAAGCACAUUUCUUUGUCUGAUGUCGCGUGUUCGUCUCGUUCCGUUUCGGAUUUCGGUUCGCGAUUUAAUUUCGUUUGAUGGUCGUGCGUGUCGUGGGUUUUGAUCCGCGAUGUGGCCCAGCCCGGCCCGCGCGCCCCCCAGCCCACCCCCCCCCCCCCCCCCAUGCGCCCCCUCCUCCUCUCCCUCUCCCAUUUGGAUUUCCCGCGCAGUAACCUCCCUCUCCUUCCACCUCUCUCUCUCCCUCCCCGUGGUGCCCUAGGUUUCGGAGACGGUGAUCGCCGGAGUUGGAUCCCGAGGUGAGCUCCCCUCCC
RNAcentral lists this long non-coding RNA (1862 nucleotides) under Zea mays. RNAcentral's name for it is "long non-coding RNA (ZMAY_LNC000154)". Lineage: Eukaryota; Viridiplantae; Streptophyta; Magnoliopsida; Poales; Poaceae. The record is from RNAcentral.